Molecule: ribosomal RNA, 207 nt
Filed under: uncultured bacterium
Lineage: Bacteria
Description: partial 16S ribosomal RNA
Rfam family: Bacterial small subunit ribosomal RNA
Source: RNAcentral
CGCGCAGGCGGUCGUUCAAGUCGAGUGUGAAAGCCCCCGGCUCAACUGGGGAGGGUCACUCGAUACUGAUCGACUCGAAGGCAGAAGAGGGAAGCGGAAUUCCCGGUGUAGUGGUGAAAUGCGUAGAUAUCGGGAGGAACACCAGUGGCGAAGGCGGCUUUCUGGUCUGCUCUUGACGCUGAGGCGCGAAAGCUAGGGUAGCAAACG